This 253-nucleotide ribosomal RNA is filed under the name uncultured Acidobacteriota bacterium. Its description in RNAcentral is "uncultured Acidobacteria bacterium partial 16S ribosomal RNA". It matches the Rfam family "Bacterial small subunit ribosomal RNA", at positions 524 to 776 of the family's 1533-position model. The record is from RNAcentral. Lineage: Bacteria; Pseudomonadati; Acidobacteriota.
UACGGAGGGGGCCAGCGUUGUUCGGAAUCAUUGGGCGUAAAGCGCGCGUAGGCGGCCGAGCAAGUCGGACGUGAAAUACCUCGGCUCAACCGGGGAAUGGCAUCCGAAACUGCACGGCUUGAGUCCUGGAGAGGGUAGUGGAAUUCCCAGUGUAGCGGUGAAAUGCGUAGAUACUGGGAGGAACACCGGUGGCGAAGGCGGCUACCUGGAAAGGUACUGACGCUGAGGCGCGAAAGCUAGGGGAGCAAACAGG